AUCUCCAUUUGACAUAGUAUUGAAUUGUUGCAAUUACCAUGCCAUACUAUUCGUAUCCUAGUGCUUUGUAGUUUUACCACAUGGUACCUUCACAUUCUCAUAUUCAUGGUGUUCCUCGAGUGCCUAUAAGCUUUUGGUGCCCUACCUUUUGACUCAUAAAAUAUUGUUGUCCUCACUAUUAUUAUAAAUAUUUUACCUCUUAAACUAAUUGAUGAUGACAUGGGACUCCAAAAAAACUCUCCAUUUUUUAUAACCCACAAAUCUGUUUGGUUUAGCCCUGAAUUAUUGCUCAAUUGUUUUGUAUAAUUAUGAUAAACUACACAUUAUCUUUUGGUCAUGAAAUUCAAAGACAUCAUUUUCAUUUCUAUUCACAUUAGAAUUGCAUUUUGUGAAUUCUAAUUUUGGUUAUGUUAGAGAGCAUAUUUAACAUGUGUCAUUUGAUAUAUGUUAUUCCCUUUUUUUUUAUGUUUAUAGUUCUUCCAUUAUUGUAUUUUUCUAUUUCUGUACACUCCUAUAUAUAGGAGUACAAUUUCUUAUUGUAUUUUUUCUUACAAGACUUUUCCUCUUUAGAAAAAUUCUAUUUCUAUACACUCCUAUAUAUAGGAGUACAAAAUCAUAGAAUAAUAUAGAUCAAUUCUCUCUCAUUUCCUGUUUCAUGGUAUCAGAGCUUAGGAUUCUUUGGAUAAGAUCCACCACCAUCUCUUUUCCUAUCACCUUCUCUACUCGUACAUCAGCCUCUCCUCUCUCUUUCCUCUCCUUUCUCGUUCUUCUCCUUUUUGUGCUGAUCUAGAUCGAGGGACUUCCUCUACUGAGUGACUUUAAGGGAAAGGCGUCGCUUCUUUCUCCUUUCCUGGUCUAUCGGGAUCGGGUCUGCAGCUCGCCGCAUAAAUAUGUUCUGCGGCUUGCCAUUAGUUUAAGUGCUUUCUGUGCCUGCCUAUAUGUGGUGAUUUUGGUCUACCGAAUCUACCACAUUGACUGCCUGCCUUCAUACUAAUUUGAUGGCUAAUACUACUCCAACGAUGCCUUCAACUGUUAGAUCUCUGCCUUCCUCACAUCUGCAAGGUCUUACUACCAUUAAACUUAAUGGUAAAAACUAUCUUGUAUGGGCUCGAGCAUUCAAGAAGUUUGUUAGUGCAUAUGGCAAGCUCCACAUUCUGAUUGAUGAUCCAAUUCCUUCUAAUGAUGUAAAGUACAAAAAUUGGCUCAAGGAGGACUCGUGUUUAUACUUGGUUGCUGAACAGUAUGAAGUCAGAUGUUAGUGCUAAUAUAGUAUUUCUAAACACUGCUAAAGAAAUUUGGGAUGCUCUUAAGAAGAUGUAUUCUCAUGCCAAAAAUUUAUCUAGAGUAUUUAAGUUGUCUCAGCAACUAUUUUACCCUACGCUAUAUUGGUGGAUCCUUAGCUGACUUCUAUGCCAAGUUCAAAGGGCUCUGGGAUGAGCUCAAUAUCUAUCAGCCAUUAACUAUAGAUGUAAGUAUAAUGAAGCAACAAUGCGAGGAGUUCCAAGUGGUUCAGUUUUUGGCUGCCCUUACUCCUGAGUAUGCUCCUAUCCGUGAUCAGAUUCUUAGUGGUGACUCCUUGCCUUCCCUAUAUUCUAUUUUUUCUUGUCUUCAACAAGUUCCUGCUCCACUUUCAAAAUCUAAAACUUCUGUUGAAUCUUCGGCACUUGUUGCUGGUAGUCAUGAUCGCAAUUCCUCGUUCAACCGUGGUCGUGGACGUAGCCAAGGGGGAAACCAUGGUCGUGGGACUAGUUCCAGUGGACGAAAAUGUACUUACUGCGGCCGCACUAAUCACGUAGAGAAGAAGUGCUGGGAGAAGUAUGGUAAGCCCGAUUGGGCUAACCAAGUUAUUGCUCCAGAGUCAGAGCUGAGACUGUUGUUGCACCCACUAAAGUUGCUUCUGAUAUUAUGACUAUUUCUUGGGCGGACUUGGAGCAAUUGGUCUGCCAGAUGACUCAACUAUCUUCUGCUUCUUCCUCGACUCCUCCCGUAGCAUCCUUUGCCUCAGAUAGCACUGCUCUCUUGUCUACCACUGCAUAUGUGCCUUCCUCUUGGAUCAUUGACUCAGGUGCUACAUCACAUAUGUCAAAUGACUCUAGACUGUUCAUUUUAUUUCCUAUUUCAAAAAAUCACCCUCCUAUCUUUCUAGCUAAUGGUAGACAAUCGUCAGUAUCUGAUUGUGGUUCUGUAUCACCUACUUCCUCUUUGUCAUUUUUCUCAGUUCUUUGUGCCUAAAUUUUUAUUAAAUCUUUUGUCAGUCAAUUCUCUUACAAAAUCUUUAAACUGUUCAGUCACCUUCUAUCCUUCUUAUUGUGUUUUUCAGGAUCUCUUGAUGAGGAAGAAGAUUAGUAGGGGCCAUGAAGGUGCUGAUGGCCUAUAUUACCUGGAUGUUCCAAGAUCGAGAGCUUUUUCAUCUGUGGUGAGUCCUCAGACUUAAGAUUGUUGAUAAUCAGAAUUGCUUGUACAUCUUUCAUGUUAUAAGAGGCUCUCUAUAUGGAGCAAUAAAGAUCUAGGUACAAUGAAUCUAUUGAUCUCCUAAUGAUAUAUUUCUUUCUAUUUAGGAUUAUACAGAUUUCUCGAAUCAAUUACAAUAGAAAACAAAACAAUGAUAAAUAUCUCCUACUCUAGAUAUGGAAAUACAUAAAUUAUAAUCCCUGAUUGGUAGACACGAAUCAAGAGAUAUAGGGAUAUCAAUCAACACUCCCCCUCAAGCCGGUGCGUAUAUGUCAUAUGCAUCAAGCUUGUUACAUAUGUAUGUUACCCUCAGACCCCGAAGUGAUUUGGUGAAGAUAUCUGCUAGUUGAUCGUUAGAAUUCACAAACGAGAUAGUGAUUUCUCCAGAGAUAAUCUUUUCUUAGAUGAAAUGGCAGUCAAUCUCUAUAUGUUUAAUCCGCUCAUGGAAGAUUGGAUUGGAAGCAAUGUGCAAGGCUGCUUGAUUAUCACAAAUGAGUUUCAUAGAGCCUACCUUGCAAAACUUCAAUUCUUGAAGCAGUUGUCUCAACCAUAUAAGUUCACAUGUAGUAAGGGCCAUAGCUCGAUAUUCUGUUUCUGCACUUGAUCUGACAACCACAUUCUGCUUUUUGCUUUUCCAUGAGAUGAGAUUGCCUCGAAUAAGAACACAGUACCUAGAAGUCGAUCUUCUAUCACUAGGGGAUCAUGCCCAAUUUGCAUCUGUAUAUGCAACAAUGUCUUUGUGGCCUCUAUUUUCAUAAAUCAAUCCUCUUUCGGGAGAACCCUUAAUAUAUCUCAAGAUCCAAACCACUGCAUCCCAAUGACUGUCACAAAGAGAGUUAAGAAACUGACUUACAACACUAACAGCAAAGGAUACGUCUAGUCUGGUCAUGGUGAGAUAAUUUAAUUUUCCUACUAGUCUCCGAUAUCUGUCUGGGUCUGAAUAGGACUCCCCCUGAUCUGGUAGAAGUUUCACGUUUGGAUCCAUAGGAGUAUCGAUUGGUUUACAAUCUAGCAUCCCAGUCUCUUCCAGAAUGUCAAGGGCAUACUUCCUUUGAGAGAUGGCGAUGCCUGUUUUUGAUUAGGCUACUUCAAUCCCAAGUACCGCAACCGGCCCAACUUCUUAGUUUAGAAGUGUUGAAACAAGUGCUGCUUUAGGCCUUUGAUACUGUCAUGAUCAUCACCUGUAAUGACAAUAUCAUCCACGUAGACCACAAGGUAGAUGCAUAGAUUAGAGGAUGAAUGUUUAUAAAAUACAGAAUGAUGUCUCACUACAGACCAUCCCAAAUUGUUGUAUGACUUUACUAAAUCUUCCAAACCAUGCCCGAAAAGACUGCUUAAGGCCAUAUAGCGAUUUGUGUAACCUGCAAACCAAACUCGUCUCUCCUUGAGCAAUAAACCUAGGUGGUUGCUCCAUAUAAACGUCCUCCAAGGCACCAUGUAGAAAGGCAUUUUUGAUGUCCAACUAAUAUAGAGGCCAAUGAUUCAUGGCAGCCAUUGAUAAGAAGAGCCGGACAGCGUCAUCUUAGCAACAAGGGAGAAUGUGUCUCCAUAAUCAAGACCAAAGAUUUGAGUAUAGCCCUUAGCCACAAGACGUGCUUUCAAACGAUCCAUCUAUCCAUCAGGGCCCACUUUAAUAGUAAAAAUCCAUCAACAACCAACUGCAGAUUUUUCAGGAAGGGAAGGAACAAGAGUCCAUGUAUUAUUGGAUUCCAAGGCUGUCAUCUCAUCAAUCAUCGCUUGAUGUCAUCCUGGAUGGGAAAGUGCUUCCUGGACAGUUUUAAGAAUAGAAACGGAAGACAAGACAGAAACAAAGACAUAAUGGGAUGAAGAUAAACGAUGAUAGCUCAAAAAAUUAUAAAUAGAAUGAGGAUUACAAGUAGAGCGUAAACCUUUAUGGAAAGCUAUAGGCCGAUCAGUGGAAUGCUCAAGCAGGCCCGGGGUAGGUGGAGAUGCUGGAGCAGAAAAUGAAUUACCUAAAUAUUGAGUGGGAACAGUCUCCGAAAUCUCAGGUUAUGGUCAAUGCUGAUAAGUGAUAAGUGGGCAUGGUGAGGAAUGUAUCUACUGAGCAGGCAGAGUAGGAGGUUCGAGAGAAACAAAGACUGACAGACCAAGGUAGAAAAUCAGUAAGAGCUAAGAGAUGGAUUCAGGCUCCACCAAUGAGCUGAAAUAAUGUGUCCUCAAAGAAGGUGACAUCUGCAGACAUGUAAAAUCGAUGAGUGGAAGGAGAAUAACAUCGAUAUCUCUUCUGAACCCGAGAGUAACCAAGAAAAAUGUAUUUAAUAGCACAAACAGACAGUUGAUCAAAAUCUGGAGAAAGAUCAUGCACAAAACAGGUAGAACCAAAAACACAAGUGGGAACAAUGUAAAGAGGGUCCUUAGAAAAUAAAAGAGAAUGAGGUACUUGGUUAUUUAAAACAGAUGAUGGCAUUCGAUUUAUCAAAUAACCAGCGGUGAGGACAGCAUUAUCCCAAAACUUUAAGAGUGCAUUAGCAUGUAACAAAAGAGUACGAGCUGUCUCAAUAAUAUGAUGAUAUUUUUUUCUGCUAUGCUAUUUUGUUGUGGAGUAUGUGGACAGGUGGAUUGAUGAAUCAUUCCAUGAGAUGUCAUGAAAAAAUUGGAGGGAGCAGGAAAAAUACUCUUUUGCAUUAUCACUGUGCAAAAUGCAAAUAGAGUGCCCAACAUAAGUUUGAAUUUUAUUGCAAAAAUUUUGAAAAAUAGUAAACAACUCUGAACGAUCUUUCAUUAAGAGUAUCCAAGUACACCUUGAAAAAUCAUCAAUGAAAGUAACAAAGUACCUAUAUUCUAAGAUAGAACUGACAUGAUUAGGACCCCAAUCAUCAAAAUGAACGAUGUCAAAAGGAGACUGCUCGAUUAUUUACCUUGCUUGGAAAGGAUGCCCGAACAUAUUUUUCAAGCUGACACGACUCACACUCCAAAGACUGCAAAUGAGAGAGAUAAGGGAUCAUCUUUCUUAGCUUAUUUAGACUCAGAUGACCCAGACAACGGUGAAGGAGACAAGGAGACUGUGACAGCACAUAUGAUAGAGGAUGGAGGCUAGAGAUAAUAAAGUCCUUGUGAUUUAGAUCCCACGCCAAUCGUCUGUUCUAUACUCCGAUCCUGUAUAGGAAAAGAAUCAGCAUUAAAGGUUAUAGAGCAGUCAAGAGUGCAAAUAAGUUGACUAAUAAAAAUUAAACUAAAGGGGCAACUUGGUAUAACAAGAACAAAAUUUAAGGAAAAAGAAGAGAGGUGUAGCUUAACCAAUGCCAGUGGCUUUACCUUUAGAGCCAUCGGCAAGGGUGAUGUAAUGUGGUGUCUUGGGAGAUGAUAAUUUUGAGAAAAAAAAAGAAUUACCAGCUAUGUGGUCAGAAGUAUCAGAAUCCAAAAUCCAGGAUCCACCAAACAAAGAAUGAGGCAAACCGUAGAAUUACCAGUAUGGACAACAAUAGCUGAAGAUGAAGCUUGUUGGGCUGCUUUAAACUGAAGAUACUCGUAUUCACGAUCUGAUAAAAUAUUCUGGUUGUCACUCUCAAUAUCCGGUGCCUAAGAUUGUAUCACAUUAGCUGAUUUCUCUAGAAAAUCAUGCAAAAAAUAGCACCGAUCUCGAGUAUGGCCCAAGCGAUUACAAAAGAAACAUUGAGGACGAUUACCAGAUCCACCUCCCCCUCUACCACCACCACGGCCUCGACCUCCACGGUCAGUCGUGUUAGAGACAGGCUGAAGAUUCGGAGACUAUUUGGAAACCAACUCCAAAUGCUGCCUCUGAAGAAGGAACUCACAGCAAACGAUCGAUAAGAUCCUCCACCAUAGGAAUAUUAGGAUUUGUCAGAACUUGAUUUCGAAUAGAGUCAAAAUCUUUAUGAAGAUCGUGGAGAACGAACACCAUAUACAUGUCCAGCUUAUCCAGCAUCUUCUGAAGGUUAUCACCGAUCGGUAUCAACUUGAUUUCUUUAAUGGUGGAUUGAGCUUUUGUUUAGAUAUGAGGGUAGGUCAUGAUCCGUCAUUUUAAGUGUUGCCAGGUUAUGGAUAGAAUCAUACAGAUGUUGAAUAUCAUUGGAAUAGAUGCUCCAAGCUUUCUUUCAUAUGUCAUAGCAUGUUUUAUAUGAGCGAAAGUGCAUUAACAGCUUUGGAUCAAUGGACUGCCAUAACAAAGACACCAACUGAUAAUCAGCCUUCUUCCACUGGUCCCUCUCAUCAGCAUCGAUAUCUUCUGCCCUCUUGGUUGGAUGCUCAAAGAGUCCUUGACCUAAAAAUCAUACAUCAACAGCAGCAUACCAACCCAAAAAAUUUUUACCAUUGAGUUUCUCUAACGUUAUGGUGGGAGUGCCAGAGAAAGCAAAGGAAACAAGGCCCUUCUUCAAAUCUGAUGCAAAAACCAUGAGAGAGAUUUUAUUUAACAGAUCUUACGACGAGAUGAUGACCAAAAAUUGAGGCAGAAUGGCGAAAACUAAAACCGAGGCAGGAAAGUAAGGAGGGAAUAGAGAUAAUGUUACCGGGGCUUGCCGAAAAGAUACACGACAAGGAGAUCUUGCUGACUAGAAGCUUUUCAAUGGAGGACAGUGGGUCUACUGAAUUUUGACAAAAGCUCUGAUACCAACUUAAGACUACUGAUAAUCAGAAUUGCUUGUAUGUCUUUCAUAUUACAAGAGGCUCUAUAUAUAAAGCAAUAAAGAUUUAGAUACAAUAAACCUAUUAAUCUCCUAAUGAUAUAUUUUCUAAACAGGAUUU
RNAcentral lists this long non-coding RNA (7176 nucleotides) under Elaeis guineensis (African oil palm). Its description in RNAcentral is "long non-coding RNA (EGUI_LNC027303)". Lineage: Eukaryota; Viridiplantae; Streptophyta; Magnoliopsida; Arecales; Arecaceae. The record is from RNAcentral.